Molecule: long non-coding RNA, 2750 nt
Organism: Canis lupus familiaris (dog)
Lineage: Eukaryota; Metazoa; Chordata; Mammalia; Carnivora; Canidae
Exons: 2
Source: RefSeq, a predicted model, not a curated record
GUGGACACUUGGAACACAGGACCUCCGAAGGACGGCCACUCCCAGGGCCUGACCCGAGCCUGAUGACGCCCAGACAGCAGGAACGUGCGUGCAACCCACGGCAACCCAGCUCUUGCCAGCCCCGGAGGCAGACGCAACACGCAACACACGUCUGCUACAGAAACGUCGGAGAGUCGCGGGAACGACCAUCCGGGCUGUGCAGGCUGCGCACCGUGGGGCGCGUGCGGGGUGCGGCUGGUGGGGCCCGGCCGCCAGGUAUGUGCACAGGGUUAAAUCCCCGGCUGGCGUCCAAAGCCUGUUUCCUGACAGUAAUGACCUUCCUUCCUGCGGCUCCCCCGCUGCUCGCAGGCUGUCCUUGCUGUUUCCACGCGUCUGGUUCGAGAGCGAUUACUGUGCCGCCGGGUCUGAGAACACGGUGUUUCCUGGCCUCGCCACCCUCCCAGCGGGGGACACAGCCACCGGCCUGGCAGAGGCCCGGCUCCCAAGCCUGGGCAGUGGGGCCUGGGGCCUGAGUGUGCAGACCUGGGGGCAUGAGGGCUGGAGUUCGGAGGCCCCACUCACGGCGUCCCCACGCAGGGACCAGUCCUGGCUCUCACGCAGCACCCUGAGAUGCAGGGAGGGGAGCCAGGUGGCAGGGCCGGCUUGCCUGCUGGGGUCCCUGGCCUGCCCAUCACCCCCCACAGGACGAGGCCAGGGGCAGAGCAGUUCAUCGGCCUCAACACCCACCUACCGCAGCCAGGAGUACCUCAGGCUGCUGCCCGCAGGUGUAGACACGGAGGUUGCGGGCCAACACUCCAGCUACACAGGGAGCCUUUCUAGAAAUUGUCACCAACUCGGGGCCUCACCGCCUCAGCCACUUAUGCAAGUAGCUCCAGAACUGUCAUGUCAAAGGACCCCUACUAACCAUGGUCCCGCUGCCAGCAGAGCUGUCCAGUGGCAGGACAUCACCCAAGAGCCACCAGGCCUGAGUCUGAAUCUAACCUCUGCUCCUCGUCCCCCGUGGCCUCCAAGUGGCCACCUACGUGCUCUUGUUCCAACUCAACUUUCUCGCCUCCUGAGUCUCACUCUUGUACCCUGUAGGGGUUGGGGGGAGCCAGAGACCCCACUGCCAGCACCUUCGGUUUUUGCCUGUACCAGGAUCUCCAGGGACAGGGAACUCACUACCUGUCAGCACCUACCCCUCCUUUGUCAAGCAAUUUUCAGUAUAGGUCCUUCUGCACGUGGGGGUGAGGUCACCUUCCCCAUGACCACACCCCCCAACACACAUAUACACACAGCCAGGUCAAGUUCUGGCUUCUAGGGCCCGACCCUCUCCCGCAGGAUGGAUCCAGGGUCAAGCGCCCCUCUCCAACCCCAUACACUUUACCCCACACAAAAAGCACGAGCCCACGAGAGGCAGCCCACCCUCUCUCAGGCCCCACACGCAUACCCAGGACAUCCGCAGACUUCUUCCGCUCCACGAUCUGGAUGUCUCGGGCGCCGGCCGGGAUGUGGGUCACCAGAGAGUAACCUGGGGGAGAUAAUAAGAUAGUGAGCGGCCAGUCGGCUGUGGCCACCACCUCUCUGUUGGGAAGUCGUUACCCUCCUGUGGAUCCUGGUUGGCGGGGGGGGGGACUGAGGCAUCCCCCAACCCCCACCUCCCAACAGCUACACCUGAGCUCAAGACGUGAGUCCACGGCCCUGUGGAAAAAGCCCCAUGCGUCUGGAGGGCUGGGCUGCUGCCCAGGGACGCACCCAGGCUAACCUGGUUCCAUGACCCUCUCCCACCAAGGUCAUGGGUGACGCUCAUCAGCACCUGACCCCUACUCCGGAGGGACACCGUUGGCCACAGGGACCUUAAGUCUGCUAGGGUCAAGCGGACUUGGGUCCUUCUCUGCCUCUGCCACGUAUCACCGAGGUGGUCCUGAGCCCUCGGGCCUCACUCAGGGUCCUCACCUGGGCACAGGGACGACUGCCCCCCCUCUAGGCAAUGUGGGGAGGUUUCCGCAUGGCACGGAGCCUCCCUCCUGGCAAUGGCACAGUCACUACUAUUAUUGUUUUAAAACCUGUAUUAUCACAACAUCAUGAGGAUUUUAUCAAACACUGGCUGCAUUGGAAGAUGUGGGUGAGGAAGUACAGCUGGGGGCCUGUCCCGAAAGGCGGGGAGGUAGCCAUGGGGACCUCCACAGAGACGCCCAACAAAGGCAUCAAGGGUCUAGGGGGCAGCCCUCUGACGAAGGGACAGAUGCUACCAGCAGCAGGUGGUCUGAGGAGGAGGAAGAGAGGUUUUAAAAGCCCUAAGAUGGAAAAGCCUCCAGGAGAGAAUGGUGACAGUGCUUUCUGAAAUCAGGUUUGCUGGGGGACGGUGGGGGUGGGGGGACACCCAUUGCAGAGUCCUUGGGCGCCUGCCCAUGGGUGAGCAGCUCUACAGGCCAGCUCUGCCUGCUGCGUUGCAGGUCCCCAAAGGAAGGCUCUGAGCUCGUCGUCCCAGCCAGAGUGUGCUAAGAGGCUCUGUGGGGGUCUGGGGGGCAUUCACGUGGGGUGUCAGCCCCCCACAGUGGCAGAACUUAGGCUCCCAGCGUGCCAGGCUGGGUGCAGAGGGGGGCGGAGGGGAGGUGGGGAGAGAGGUGCAUGGGGCCCGCCUGCCUCCACGGUGGUGUCUCUGCCGCACACCCGCAGUACAAGUAGCAGCCAAGCAGGCAGGAAAUGAGGACUCGGCAUAACUGUCGUUUAUCUACGUGCAGGUUUAAAUACAUCCAUGUUUAAAUUCA